Molecule: ribosomal RNA, 497 nt
Filed under: uncultured bacterium
Lineage: Bacteria
Description: partial 16S ribosomal RNA
Rfam family: Bacterial small subunit ribosomal RNA
Source: RNAcentral
GAUGAACGCUGGCGGCGUGCCUAACACAUGCAAGUCGAACGGAGAAACGCCGAGCUUUUUGGUGUGAGGGUAGCGGCGGCCGGGGGGGUAAUAAGUCGAUAGUAACCUUCUCCCUCCUGGUGGAUAACGGCAUGAAAGUGCUGCUAAUACAGGAUAUUCUGAACCGGUCGGAUCAUGGGUGUUAGAAAGAUUUGGUGUCGGUGUGAGAUGGAUUCGCGGCGGAUUAGCUAGUUGGUAGGGUGACGGCGUACCAAGGCGGCGAUGAGUAGCCGGCCUGAGAGGAUGGUCGGCGACACUGGAGGUGAGACACGGCCGAGACGCCUACGGGAGGCAGCAGCAGGGAAUAUUCUAGCAUGGGCGGAAGCCUGCUGAAGCAGCGCCGCGGGGGUGAAGAAGGAGUUCUGCUGGUAGAGCACCUCUUUUGGGAAAGAAGAAGGGCUGCCUAAUCUGUGGAUGUGUUGACGGUAGCUAAAGAAGAAGCGCCGGCUAACUACGUG